GUAAGGAAUAUUGGUCAAUGGGGGCAACCCUGAACCAGCCAUGCCGCGUGAAGGAUGAAGGCGUUAUGCGUUGUAAACUUCUUUUGUAUGGGAAGAAUGACAGGGAUUUAUCCUUGGAGAGACGGUACCAUACGAAUAAGCACCGGCUAACUUCGUGCUAGCAGCCGCGGUAAUACGAAGGGUGCAAGCGUUAAUCGGAAUUACUGGGCGUAAAGCGCGCGUAGGUGGUUUUGUAAGUUGGAGGUGAAAUCCCCGGGCUCAACCUGGGAACUGCCUCCAAAACUGCAUGACUAGAGUACGGUAGAGGGUAGUGGAAUUUCCUGUGUAGCGGUGAAAUGCGUAGAUAUAGGAAGGAACACCAGUGGCGAAGGCGACUACCUGGACUGAUACUGACACUGAGGUGCGAAAGCGUGGGGAGCAAACAGGAUUAGAUACCCUAGUAGUCC
RNAcentral lists this ribosomal RNA (446 nucleotides) under uncultured bacterium. Its description in RNAcentral is "partial 16S ribosomal RNA". It matches the Rfam family "Bacterial small subunit ribosomal RNA", at positions 354 to 796 of the family's 1533-position model. The record is from RNAcentral.